Panthera uncia (snow leopard) is the source of this 8646-nucleotide long non-coding RNA. RefSeq lists it as uncharacterized. NCBI's taxonomy places the organism in Eukaryota, Metazoa, Chordata, Mammalia, Carnivora, Felidae. The record is from RefSeq and is a predicted model, not a curated record. The transcript has 2 exons.
UCUCCCCAACCUUCUGAGGUUCCCCCAAUGCUGGUGAUGCAAAGCACAUUUCUGAACACCACCACCUGCCCUUCUUCUUCCAGCCUCGCUGGAAUCUGACCAAUGGGGAGGCCAGGUCUGCAGGGAAGGAGUAGGUGGCCAGAUUCCUUUCCACUUGUUUCCUGCACCUGCAAGAGAAGAACAGAGGCCAUUAUUUGGAUGACUUAUUGUUUCGAGCUUUUGUGUGUUUUGCUUUAUUAUUUUUUUUUUGUAACUUUACAAAAAGCAACAUACAUGCUUUUCAGACUUCAAUUGUUCCUCGCUCCUGACUAUCCCAGCUCACCACCUUGCAACCGGCCAAUCACCGGAUACGUCUUCGUGAACUGCAGCAGAUUUUAUUACUUAUCGAUGCCCCGUGCGGGAGGUGGAGGGUCGGUGAAAUGGCAGAAGCUCAGAGCAGCUGAGGGUGGUUGGACUCAGUGGAAAAUCCAGAAGUGCAGAUGUGGAUCCAAAUUGGGCUGAAAAUCUCAUGAGAUCAGGCUUUCUCGGACUUCCUGCUUUUAGCCUAAGCAGUGUGUUCAACAUAAACGAACUUUCGGUAUUUUGAAACUUCCGUUUCUGAUCUCAGAACCUGGAAGUCGAGAGCUGUUGUGAACAUUUCCACAAAUUUUGUCACGGUCGUUCUGGAGGCCGGGUCGAACCCAGUAAUUAUGGGGCGUUAGGACGUACCACAACCACAGCAGCCUGCCGGGACGGCGACACUAGAGGGAAAGCGGGACUCUGGUUAAGAGCUCUGGAGACAUGCAGGACUGGGUUCAGAUUCUUAGCUCUGCCACUUCUGGCCCUGUGACUUAACCUCUUAGGCUCUCAGUUUCCUCAUCAGUUAGAUGAAGAAAAUGUACCAUUUCAUAAUGCCGUGAGGACAAACUGGGGUGUGUGCGCGCGCAUUCGAUCUGUCCCCUCUUUUCUCAUAUGUGUGUGUCUGAUACGUGCAUAUAUGUACGCCUGCGUGUAUACGUGCAUCUCUGUGUACAUAGAUACAAAGCAUAUGCGUCUGUAUAUAUUACUUACUUACAGCUUGAGCACGUUCUCCUGGGGACCCGAGGGAGCCAGUAUCUGACAGGUGUGGCAUUUGGGAGUUGCUGACAUCUUGCUAAUUAACUCUCCAGUGGGGCUUUGCACCAAGGCAGCGAGGGCUCUGGGUGCACAAAGCAUGAGUUCCCUGGACCUGGAGAGGUCUCAGUUGCUCUCCAGCCACAAGUGAGACUCACAUUGGCCUUGGGAAGCGGAGGUGCGUUCAUCACGUCUGCUUGUGCCGCCCUGGCUUUUCUUGCUCUCCUCAAACAAGCCGAAAGUCAUGCCCGGCAGACAGGUGCCACAGGGCAGCAAGGGGCUGUUGGAGCCCUGUGCGGUCAUCGGUCAGAAGGAAGAGAGCUGCGUAGGGAUGAGAAAGGAGGGGAGACAGAGAGUCAGGGACAGGAUGGUAAGGUCCAUCACAAUCCACCCAGCGCUGAGAAAAAUGGCUCCCUCAGCACACCUCCCUCAGACGCUACACAGGCUGCUCCUUCUUUUCCUUUUCUGUGUUGUAGCUUAAGUUUUUCUUUUGCUCAUCAAAUGCAUCGUGUCUGUUUUUUAAUGUUUUAAAUGUUUAUUUAUUUUUGAGAGACAGAGCAUGAGGGGGGGAGGGGUAGAGAGAGGGAGACACAGAAUCCAAAACAGGCUCCAGGCUCCAGGCACAGAGCCCGACACGGGGCUCGAACUCACAAGAACUGUGAGAUCAUGACCUGAGCCGAAGUCGGACGUUUCACCGACGGAGGUACCUAGGCGCCCCAAACGCAUUAUGUCUUUUUGAAGAAUUUUUUUUUAAAUAGUGAUUUCCAAAGUAAUACAUCAGCUUUGGAUAAACUUUGGAAACUGUGGAAACAUCAUGAAAGAAAACUACAAAAGCACCCGGAGUCCCACUGUGCGGAAAAUAACCGGUUAACGUGUCGGUGUGUUUCCUUAUAGUCUCUUUAGUGCAAAUAUCUAGACAUAUAUGCCUUCUUUUUAUAUAACCAGAAUCAUAUUGUUACCAGGUGGCUCAGUUCUUGCCCCAGAUGCACCAAAGAAUUGGAGACCCAAGAUCAGAAUGGGGAGAAAGAGUUUAUUGAGUAGAUAAGUAUAGUAGGCUUUUAAAAGGGAAAGCGGGCCAUUGCGGGAGCCAGAAUGGCCAUGGCCCUGAGAAGCUCUCACUGCAUCCUUGUAAACCUGUUUUCUGCAUAUGUACACUAUUGUUUUGCAAUCUCCUUUUAGUCUCUUCUUACUAAAUUGUAGAUGUUCCCUGUAUCAUUAAAUACUAUUCUACAGUAUUACUUUAAAAAAAAUUUUUUUUUAAUGUUCAUUUAUUUUUGAGAGAGGGAGAGAGAGAGAGAGACAGAGACAGAGCAUGAGCUGGAGAGGGGUAGAGAGAGAGGGAGACACAGAAUCCGAAGCAGGCUCCAGGCUCUGAGCUGCCAGCACAGAGACCCACGAGGGGCUCGAACUCACGAACCUCGAGAUCAUGACCUGGGUUGAAGCUGGCGCUUAACCGACUGAGCCACCAUCACCACUUCUAAUGGAUGCACAGUAAAUCAUUAAAUGAAGGUUAAGUGCUGGGCUUUCAGUAUAUGUUGUUUUGCUUCUCCCCAGUUUCUGGACCUGGGAUGGCAUUGUUUAACAGGGCUAGACUUACUUCUUUUUGAUUUCAAUAAAGUAUUCUUUCUAGCCUUUAGAAAGAAACCCACAUGAAAUGCUGAAAAAGCGAUGUUAAGAAAAGUCACCGAGUCCCCCUUGAGUCAUAAAGCCAGAGGCUGGGGAGGCGGGGCCCGCCUCAGCUCACCUCCCUGGCCUUGCCCCACGGAAGCCCCGCGGAGACCGGAUUACGGGCAAACCCAGGACCUGAUGUGAUAGCACAAAGACACCCACAACUCCGAAUUUCCUGCUGCCCCGAGGCCUCUUUUUGCAUAGGAUGUUUGACUUACACAUACGUGGAAAGCAACUACUAAGAAUAGAAUAAGAGCUGCCUCUUUUCUUCUGUUGUCACUGCUCAGCAACUCCAGCCUCUGAGGCGGCCGUCUGCCACUCAUCUGCCCCCUCACAGCAAACGGGGUCAGCAGGGCUGGCUGUCAGCAAGAGGCCGGGCCCUUUCGCCUUCUCCUUCUCCGUGUGUGGCAGAGGUUGGGGUGGUAGCCGUCUGAGGGCUCUUUGUCUGGCGAGGGAGCGGGAUCUCUGCCGUGGGAGGGAGCCCCCCUGGCCAGCCCUCUGCCCUUCCCCCUCCAGCCAGCCAACUGAUUUUCUUCUCCUCCAGCCUCCACUUAUCUGAGCUUGCUCAACUCACCUUGAGAAGCUGGAACCUCCCGGCCGCUUUGGUAGAAUCAGUCCUUCCCGGUUGAGUGCUGACAAGUUUGCCCACGAGAAUUCUCUCUGAGUCCCUCAGGACCAUGGCGGCUGACCCCUGCAUGAUGCCUUGCGAAGCCGGCACGGGCAAGCUUCUUCACGAAGGCCUUGACUCUCAUGGUGCCACUUAGUCAAUUGUUCGUUCAUCCCCCUAGCUAUGCACUUAGUGCCUCCUGUUCCAGACACCGUGUUGUGGUAGUGGUGGGAUGGAGAAUAAAACAGACAAGAUUCCCUGCUGCUGUGGAAGAUACAAAGAAUUAUAAGCAAGCCACUGGAAUCAAAGAGUCUGUGGUGGGGGUCUCAGGGGAAACACCCCCUGAGUUACAAAAGACCCUCGAUACUUUUCCAUGCUGUCUGACGUUAGGAUCCUGUCCUUAACCUACCCCCAGCCUCUCUUGAGCCUGGCUCAGCUCACAGCUCUUCUAGGUGCUGAGCUGAAGAGAGACCGAUUUCUUUGUGCAAGAUCCAUUAUGGGCAGGAGAGCAAGCCUGGCUCAAGCAUACAGCUCCACAGACCCUUGUGGUCAGGGAGUUCCUAAAUGAACUCGAACCUUUGGGGGCUGGGAUCUGUUUACUCUUGGCACACUGGGAUUUCCUGUUUCUAAGAAAAUGGGCUUAGAUGCUCAGCUGCAUUAACCAAACAACAUGUUGACGCAAAUGAAUCUGAAACUUGCCAGCUCCAGACUCCCUAGAAGGUCAGCUUUAAGAAUGAAGGGAUUGAAUGACUUUUCAAACCCUGAAUUCUAAGCCAGGUGACCCAGGCCAGGGAUUUAUUGUGGGGGACCUCCUAUCCUACCCUUCUAGUCUAAAACCCCCCUGACUAGCCUUGGAGUCAGAGACUUCCUGGUCAUCCUGGAGCAGGGAGAGGGUGGGAGGAAGAUUUCCCGUGUCCAUGGCUAGCCUUGGACUCCAUCACCAGUAUUCCAUCUGCCUGAAAUGGUCACCAGGAGCUCGUUUCUUUGAGCCUCCGGGAAGCUCACGUCAAAAUGCAAAAGUUACUGGUUGACAUGACUUGAGUGAUUGCAUUUACUACAUGAACUUAGCUGAGCAAGGUCCUGUGAAGGUAGCAAACCGGGCAAGUUUUGACAGGGUGUGGGGGAGGGGAGGGAGAGAAGGCAGAAGAGAAUUUAUCAAGGGAUGCCUUGCAGAGAGGCCCAACCCAGAGAGGGGAAGGCCCCACUGGAGUACAGGAGGAGGAUGUUCAGACAAGGGGCAAAACGGGCUGGAGGCACCAACUGGGUGAUUGUAGACAUCAAAAACCCCGCCUGGCCUACUUGGCUACAGUUGGCCUUCACAGUAAGCAUUCACUUUCUCACCUGUGGCCCUGGGGUAUAAGCGAGCUCUGCAGGGAUAUGGCUGCUCAGGCUCCAGGGGACACAGCUCUCUCUACUGGGAAGAGUUCUGCAAUUUUUAUCAAUACUUGAACUGAGAAACUGAGUGGUAUGGCUUCCACCGUAAAGUGCAACUCUGUGGUUCAAAAAUGUGCAAAUUAUUGGGGAUUUAUUCCAUAACAGAAAUUAUGCUCAUUGAGAUGUGGCUAAUUAAUAUCGCUGCAUCCAGCAGCUAGUCAAAGGAGGUCAAGUUCUCUUGGGGAUACCCUGUCUGGAGAGUGAUACAGUAUGCAGAUGUGGUAGGGACAUCUACCACAGUCAUUCAUUUUGUAUUCUGAUCAUGUAUCGAGUGAUGGGAACCGUGGGGGAGUCUCCAGAGAAUGGGGAGAAAAGAAUAUCCAUGACAACUGCAUGCGAGUCCAGAACAACAGUGGAGUAAUUAAAGAGAACUGAGGAGAAAGUGAGGGAAUCAGGCAGCAUAAGGGAGGUAAGCCAAAAAAAAAAAAAAAAAAAAAAUCAGAAGGAAAGGAAAAUCGUUGGGGGUUUGGACUGGUGUGGGAAGGCUUCAUGGAUGAGGUACGUUGUGAUCCAGGAAGGCGUGUCUUCAUGGGUAUCUAUAUCUUUGGGUAAUAAAGGGCCUCCUGAAUCAGUAUCUUUCCAAAUGUUGGAGGCCCAGGAGCAUGACGAGCAGCAGUGGCUAUGCAUAAUUUUACGAAGCUUGUGCACAAGGAUCUAGAAAUUGCAGAAAUGGAAAUAAAAGAGUUGAAUUCCUAGCGCCAUAUAUGGCCUGAGCGUCAGGAGGUGGCUACGUGUGGCGGAGAAGAAAAGAAGGAGGACAGGUAGAGGAAGAGUCCACUGGGGAUUCCAAGGGAUGGAUGAAUGGAAUCCAUUCCGUCUUUCAUUAAUUUAAUGAUCACACAUGUACUGAGCACCUACUACUUCUAGGCAGUGUGCAGCAUUGAGAAUGCCAUGAUGCUUGAGACAUGGUCCCUGCCUUUGUUAAAGUCAGCGUCCCCUGGGGGAAGCAGGCAUAUACGGACACUCAGAGGCUAAAGACCAGGAAGUGCUUUUGCAACAUGUACAAAGUGUCACAGGAGACCAACUGAAGGAACAACUAACUGCUGGAAAGAGCUAAGAGGGUUGGGGAUGGCUCCCCAGGGUGCAGGUAACAGUGGAGCUGAUUUCUACAAUGACUCGGAAUGUACCCGACAGGGUAUUCCAGGGAGAGGGAAGCGGCACGAACGGGAACAUGAACUUGGGAAAGAGCGUGCCAUGUUAGUAAGAGUGCCACAAAAGUUGAGGGAAGCUGGAAACUAGUCAGAAUUGACUCGAAGUGACUCUUAAAACACUUUAAUGCCAGGCUGUAGAGAAUCAGAUUUUAUGUUGCAGGUGACAGGAAAAUCAGUACACAUUUUCAUAAGACAGUAUGGCAACCAAUAUUCCAUUCAAUUCUAAAAAGAACAUAUCCCAAGCCCUCAAGAGACUUCCCUUCCCCCCUCCCCCCAUAAAUUUGGUGAGGGGCAAGUGGAGAGAGAGGGUGAGGAGAAACAUGACCACAAAUAAUUAUGAUAUGAAUUUAGAAUAGGUUCGUUGUUGUAGGAGAGGCACAAACCAAAGGUUGUGGAAGCAUAGAUUCUCAACAGCCCGGCUUUGUCUCUGCCCAUUCAGGUCAAAGCAGGCCUGAUUUGGAGGACCAGCCAUUUCUCAUCAACUUGGUAAUAGGACCAUGAUUCUCCCUCCAACCCCCAGGAGAAGUGUUUUCAUCAGGGUCCACAGAGAGUUAUGGGGUUUAAGUCGGGAUGCCAGCAUAUAAAAAAUAUGCAAAAUCCCCCCAGAAUAAGCUUGCCAGCUCACCGUCUUGACAGGCCUCCAUGCUCUGGCCAGGGGUAUGACUCUGGGCUGUGACUCUAGGUUUUCUGUUGGUUUAGAUAAAAACUAUAAUUAGCUGCCACAAAUACAGUGAAUGUAGGAGGGGCAAGGGGAGACCCGAAUGUGAAGUGUUUUCUGGAUUCAUUUAUUUCUGGCUCCUCGUGUUGCCUCAAGUCUCUGUUCAGCUAAAUACAGUUGACGCUUGAACGACACAGGCUUGAACCGUGCGGGCCCACUUAUACUCGAAUUGUUUACAGCAGGGCGGUAUAAACAUAUUCUCUCUUCCUUAUGAUUUGCUUAAUAAUGUUUUCUUUGCUCUGGCUUACUUUAUUGUAAGAAUACAGUAUAGAAUGUAUAUAAUGUACAAAACAUGGUGCUAAUCGUCUGUUCAUGUUAUUGGCAAGGCUUCCGGCCAAGAGUAGCUGUUGGGGGGCGCCUGGGUGGCUCAGUCUAUUGAGCGUCCGACUCCGGCUCAGGUCAUGAUCUCUCGGUUCAUGAGUUGGAGCCCCGCAUUGGGCUCUGUGCUGACAGCUCAGAGCCUGGAGCCUGCUUCGGAUUCUGUGUCUCCUUCUCUCUCUGCCCCUCCCCUGCUCACACUCUGUCUCUCUCUCUCAAAAAUAAAUAAACAUGAAAAAAAUUAAAAAAAAAAAAAAGAGUAGCCGUUGGUAGUUAAGUUUUGGGGGACCCAAAAACUGGAGGUGCGUUUUCAACCGUACAGGGUUCCACGCCCCCGAACCCCCACGUUGUUUCAGGGCCAACUAUACUUAUUUUUCAAAUGUAAAGUAACACCCUAGGUGAGCCUGAACUCGAUCCUUACAGAAUACUCAGGAAUUUCAUCAGGGUUUCCCCCUAUCUCCUCCCACCCACCUCUCCCCUGUCCCCAGCAAGCACAGGUUGUAUGUCCACACCUGUGCACGUCUUUGAGCAGUGCCUCGGAAACUGGCCAGGUCCCCUUUCAGAUCACGGCCAAAAAUGUCAGCCCCUCACAUCUCACCUGUGAGCACAGGCCCCAGCCCUUUCUGGAGGAAGGAGCACCCUGCAUCAAACCCACCCAAAGGUGUCCCAGAGCCCUUCACUCACAGAAGCCUGGCAGAGAAGUCAGAGCAAGGAUGUGGCCACCACACAGACCUUUUGCAUGUAAUACACGAUUUACAGACAUCUUUCAUCCCCUCCUUUUAUUUUCUCUCCUUUUCUUUCUCUCUUGCUCUCUGUUUGACUGAGUUGCCCCAGGGCUGGUGGUUUCAAAACUAGCAGCUGCAAACUUAUGAAGGAAAAAAAAAAAAACCCAAACCACAAAAACCCUUCUUGUGAAAACUGUGUGUGCCAGUCUAAAAGCGGUAGGCCAUGCGGGAGGGAGGCCUGUUAACGUGUCAGGAGGACAGAAGCAUGGAGUGUGAAACAGCAGCAGGGUCUUUAUAGGGGGGGAGGAAUGAUAUGCGUUCAGGGCAGGGGGGAGUAGGGGACAAGGCAGGAGAGGAGUUUGGGAAGAGGGAGGAGUCCUAGCUGGCCAGGAAAACCCUCAGAGGAAUGGCUCCCUGCAUCAGCUGAGCUGUCUGAAACAGUCUGGCUUCCCAAAUGCAAAUCAGACCAGCUGUUACUUCUGGUAUCUUCCCGCAGAAGACUCAAGAUCCAGCCUCUACUCUAGGUCCACUCAAGGACUUUUGAAGCACAUAGUCACAUGUGUGACUGUGUCCCAGCUCCUGUCUCAGCCCCAUUCUCCCCAGCUAACACCCACUCGUACUCACCUAUGUAUUCACACCCUUCAGACCCCACUGAUCAAACAGAGAGAUACCUCCCCAAACCCAGCCCCAAACUCCUGCUCUAUUGCUAAUUUCAACAAAUAAGUCCAUCUAAGGGAGUGGGGAGUAGAAAGGACAUGAGGAGAAAUCCUAAGACCCUCUUAGAGAGAGCAUCAAGUCCUCGUCUGGCCCAAGACAAAGAAAGUCCUCAGAAGUUUCAUUGAGCGUGAGGUCUGGAAAGAAUUCCCAGAGUUGACAUGAAUCUGGCCAGGCCUCUUUCUCCUGACUUCUUGCCGUAGCUCCACACUAAUACCA